GCGAGAGUGGCGGAACUGGUAGACGCACCGCACUCAAAAUGCGGCGGCCGAAAGGACAUGUGGGUUCGAGUCCCACCUCUCGCACCA
This 87-nucleotide transfer RNA is filed under the name Pseudomonadota bacterium. RNAcentral describes it as "tRNA-Leu". It matches the Rfam family "tRNA". From Rfam's summary of the family: Transfer RNA (tRNA) molecules are approximately 80 nucleotides in length. The record is from RNAcentral. Lineage: Bacteria; Pseudomonadati; Pseudomonadota.